RNAcentral lists this ribosomal RNA (440 nucleotides) under uncultured bacterium. Its description in RNAcentral is "partial 16S ribosomal RNA". It matches the Rfam family "Bacterial small subunit ribosomal RNA", at positions 338 to 795 of the family's 1533-position model. The record is from RNAcentral.
CCUACGGGUGGCAGCAGUGGGGGAUAUUGCACAAUGGGGGAAACCCUGAUGCAGCGACGCCGCGUGAGUGAUGAAGUAUUUCGGUAUGUAAAGCUCUAUCAGCAGGGAAGAAAAUUACCGUACCUGAUCAAGAAGCACCGGCCAACUACGUGCCAGCAGCCGCGGUAAUACGCAGGGGGCAAGCGUUAUCCGGAUUUACUGGUUGUAAAGGGAGCGUAGACGGUUAUGCAAGUCUGGAGUGAAAGCCCGGGGCCCAACCUCGGGACUGCUUUGGAUACUGUGUAACUGGAGUACAGGAGGGGCAGGCGGAAUGCCUGGUGUAGCGGUGAAAUGCGUAGAUAUCAGGAGGAACACCGGCGGCGAAGGCGGCCUGCUGGACUGAAACUGACGUUGAGGCACGAAAGCGUGGGGAGCAAACAGGAUUAGAUACCCGUGUAGUC